This 407-nucleotide ribosomal RNA is filed under the name Levilactobacillus brevis. RNAcentral's name for it is "bacterial SSU rRNA". It matches the Rfam family "Bacterial small subunit ribosomal RNA", at positions 113 to 506 of the family's 1533-position model. Lineage: Bacteria; Bacillati; Bacillota; Bacilli; Lactobacillales; Lactobacillaceae. The record is from RNAcentral.
ACACCUGGGAAAUCUGGCCAGAAGCUGGGAAUAACACUUGGAAAGAGGUGCUAAUACCUUAUAACAACAAAAUCCGCAUGGAUUUUGAUUGAAACGUGCCUUCGGCUAUCACUUCUGAAUGAUCCCGCGCCGUAUUAGUUAGUUGGUGAGGUAAAGGGCCAACAAGACGAUGAUACGUAGCCGACUUGAGAGGGUAAUCGGGCACAUUGGGACUGAGACACGGCCCAAAGUCCUAAGGGAGGCAGCAGUAGGGAAACUUCCACAAUGGACGUAAGUCUGAUGGAGCAAUGGCGCGUGAGUGAAGAAGGGUUUCGGCUCGUUUAACUCUGUUGUUAAGGAAGAACACCUUUGAGAGUAACUGUUCAAAGGUUGACGGUAUUUAACCAGAAUGCCACGGCUAACUACGG